This 497-nucleotide ribosomal RNA is filed under the name uncultured bacterium. RNAcentral's name for it is "partial 16S ribosomal RNA". It matches the Rfam family "Bacterial small subunit ribosomal RNA", at positions 28 to 507 of the family's 1533-position model. The record is from RNAcentral.
GAUGAACGCUGGCGGCGUGCCUAAUACAUGCAAGUCGAGCGAACGGACGAGAAGCUUGCUUCUCUGAUGUUAGCGGCGGACGGGUGAGUAACACGUGGAUAACCUACCUAUAAGACUGGGAUAACUUCGGGAAACCGGAGCUAAUACCGGAUGAUAUUUUGAACCGCAUGGUUCAAAAGUGAAAGACGGUCUUGCUGUCACUUAUAGAUGGAUCCGCGCUGCAUUAGCUAGUUGGUAAGGUAACGGCUUACCAAGGCAACGAUGCAUAGCCGACCUGAGAGAGUGAUCGGCCACACUGGAACUGAGACACGGUCCAGACUCCUACGGGAGGCAGCAGUAGGGAAUCUUCCGCAAUGGGCGAAAGCCUGACGGAGCAACGCCGUGUGAGUGAUGAAGGUCUUCGGAUCGUAAAACUCUGUUAUUAGGGAAGAACAUAUGUGUAAGUAACUGUGCACAUCUUGACGGUACCUAAUCAGAAAGCCACGGCUAACUACGUG